UGUCCUCUUAAAUGCGCUGUUUUUGAUGGUCCCUGAACCAGGGAGAGAUGCUUGGGGGGGAAGCAGGGGUCACCCUGGACCCAAAAGCCAGGCACUGAGAGUGUGGAGCCACCUUGAAGGGACCCUGAGGCCCCUGUAAGCACCACACCCUCUUCAAUUUACAGAUGAAGAACCAGGGUUUGCAGAGAUGCUGGGACAUGCCCGAGGCCACACCGAAUGUCAUGAGUUCCUUCCUUCAUGGACUCCUCCUUCCUUCAUGGUCUGGUGAUCAUGUCCACUCUUGGUCAUCAUGAAGAGCCAAGGAUCAAUGGAACAUGCAAGAAUAAAAUUCAGAGUUCCUGGGUUCUACUCCUGUGUCUUGGUGCCAAGAAGAGAAAAAUCCAAGAUGCCCCAAGUCAGAAAAAGUUUGCCAACCCUUGACUUAGAUUCGUGGAAAAACAGCCAUCCUCACAGUGGGAUUCAAAAGGAAUGAUUUAAAAGCUCUGCAGCUCCAAAAUCUCCUAAGUCGUUGACUCAAUGACUAAUUCCAUCAGGACCUCACACCUGCAGCCUUCUCUCCCAGAGAUUCCAUACUGAAAUGCAAUGUUACUCGAGCUGGUUGCUGUCAAGAAAUGCCACUAAAAUGGUUGAUCCACAAGUUUCCCUUUCCUGGAUGUGUUCUUUCCUUUAUGAAAAGUUACAUAGUAAAUGAAAAAUGCGUAUUGUGCUGCGCUCUUAAUUGUCAUAUACCACUU
RNAcentral lists this long non-coding RNA (734 nucleotides) under Dasypus novemcinctus (nine-banded armadillo). RNAcentral describes it as "lncRNA (ENSDNOG00000050121.1)". Lineage: Eukaryota; Metazoa; Chordata; Mammalia; Cingulata; Dasypodidae. The record is from RNAcentral.